UUUUUUUAUUUUUGUUGCAAUUUUUUUCGAUUUUACUGUUCACCACGGACUAAAACCGCCCGAAGCGGCACGAGGGACGAAAACUAUCUGGUUUUGAUAGUUGAGAGACGAAAAUUCUCCGGUUUAGAGUUGAGGGACGAUUUCUAAACUCUGGAAAGAGUUCGAGGACAAAAAAUAUACUUAUCCCAUAAAUAAAAUAAAUGAAAGUAGAAAGAAUAGAUGUGUGGCGAUCGAUGCACUCACCGCCUUUCACUCCGAAGGUGUUGCCGCACCCUGUGCACUGGCACUUGUCGCUGCACCCGACGCCGUGCUUUGAUUCGAGACAGCCGCAAAUCGAGCAUGAGAUCGAGCACCGGCAGCACAUGUAGUCAUGCAAGGCAAAACAAAUAAAAGCAGAGGAGACGUGUGUAUGUACGUACCUUGAAGCACUCGCAGUAGAGCUUCUUGCAUUCAGAACUGCGGCAGUUGCAUCCCUUGACGUGCACCCCUGCUGCUUCCUGCUGCUGCUGUUGCAGCCCAGGCCCAUCGCUGGCGAUGAUCUUGGGCUUGAAGGCGUCGGGCUUCUUCUUCAUGAUGCACUCUGCGCGCUCAUCCACCUCGUCGGAGUUGUCCUCUGUGUUGCGGCAGCCCAGGCAGGAGCACCCCUCGUCGCAGAACACCCAGGCCUCGAAGCAAUGGCAGUAGCUGCAUGCAUGUGAAUGCGGUUUCGGUGAGGAGGACCGUAAGAGCACGGCGGCGGCGGCGCCAGUGGCUUACUUAGCGCUGGAGGCACUGGGUCUUCUCGCAGGUGCAGUGCGGCAAAUCGUCCAUGGCGGCCAAGGAAGAAGGGUCAGAGGGGAGAAGACGGGGUAGGAGGCAGAUCUGUUCGAGACUGAUGCACGGAGUCUCCGAGGAACAAAGAUGUCCUAUACAAUACAACUGCAGACACAGAGUCCAUGCAAUUCUAGUCAAGUUGAUCCAGCGUGACAUCGAAAGGUCAUCAAAUUGCACCAAAAGUUUUAUUAAUUUUUCCAGUAUAUGAUGAGCUCCAACCUCAUGGAAACAUGUCCCAUUUUCUUUUUCAUUUCUCUCUCCAAGAAAGUACCACCUGAUCUCAAAAUUCAUGUAUUUUUUUAUGUGCAACAUCUUCUAACAGUUCAUAUACUUUUCGACUACUCCCUUCGUUUCUAAAUAUAAGACUUUUUGGAGAUUUCAAUACGAAGUACUCCCUUCAUUCCAAAAUACUUGACUCCCAUUUGUCCAAAAAUGGAUGUACCUAUAUACUAAAACAUGUCUAGAUACAUCUAUAUUUUGACAAAUGAAAGGCAUGUAUUGUGGAACGGAGGGAGUACAUACAGAUGUAUAUAGACACAUUUUAUUUUCAUUCAAUUUGUCCAUAUGUAGUCUGUAUUGGUAACAAUAGCCCAUCUUCAUUGCUCCUCCUCUUCAUAUUAUUGCCAUAACUUACCAAUUCGAUUUUUCUUCUUUUGAAAUUUCACUCCGCUCGGCAUAGUAGUAGCGCAGGAGUAGAUGGCAUUUGACAAGGAUGUUGAAAAUAGAACUCACCCCAGGGCUUGAGUUGGUGGACCAAGAUCAACAUCCAUGUGACUCAAUUCGCUGAGGAUGUGGAUAUCAUCCAUGAUGCUUGUUUCUGUCAACUGAGAAGCCAUGUCGUCGUUGAUUAUUGCGGACGAUCCAUUCGAACGGGCAAGUGUUUCACCGGAGCCGCCAGAUGUUCCUUCAGGACUGUCACUAUGUGCUUGUUGAGCCGCGGGAAAUUGAUCAUGCAAGAGCACGACUGAGCAUAAAUGUAUAAAUGCUAUAAAUAAAGGGAUAAGUAUAUUUUUGUCCUCGAACUAUUCCGAGAGUUUAGAAAUCGUCCCUCAACUCUAAACCGGAGAGUUUUCGUCCCUCAACUAUCAAAACCGGAUAGUUUUCGUCCCUCGUGCCGCUUCGGGCGGUUUUAGUCCGGGAUGAACAGUAAAUCAGUGAGCAAUAAAAUCGAAAAAAUAGCAAAAAAUAAAUAUAAAAAAAUCUGAAAUUUUACAGCAUCGAAGAUAAUCUGGUGCGCAAGACCCGUGCAAAAUAUCGUGGUGUUUCGAAAUUCAAGCGGCUCGUGGUAAACAAAAAAAUUUAAAUAUGUACGUCGGUGAACAGUAAAUUAAAAAAUUCAAAAAAACAUGAAACAUUUUGGCAUCAAAGAUGCUCAGGUACGCAAGAUGCAUGCAAAAUUUUGUGAUCAAAUGACAUACGAGGAGCUCUAGCCAAAAAAACAAAAAAAAUAGCACACUUUUUAAAAAAAAAAUAUAAGCCAAAUUUUGUUUCUUUUUGUCACGAGUUUGUACAAUACCCAAACAUCACGAAAAUUUGCACGCACGUUGAGCACCCAAGCCUCUUUUAUGCCAAAAAAAAAUUCAUACGACUUUGAAUUUUUUUUCUAUUUAUUUUGAAUUUACUGUUGACUGGCGUAAAAAUUUAUAGUUUUUUGUUUGCCACGAGCUGCUCGAAUAUCAAAACACCACAAAAUUUUGCACGUGUCUUGCGCGCCAAAGUAUCUUCGAUGCUCUAAAAUUUCAGAUUUUUUUAUUUUUGUUGCUAUUUUUUUCGAUUUUACUAUUCAGCCCGGACUAAAACCACCCGAAGCGGCACGAGGGACAAAAACUAUCUGGUUUUGAUAGUUGAGGGACGAAAAUUCUGCGGUUUAGAGUUAAGGGACAAUUUCUAAACUCUGGGAAGAGUUCGAGGACGAAAAAUAUACUUAUCCCAUAAAAAAAUAAAUGAAAGUAGAAAGAAUAGAUGUGGCAGGGACUGGCUGGCCUAGCUGCAUGCACGCACGUACUGCCAUUUUGGUGCAUGGAGGCUUGGUACCAUGUAAAGAAAGUCAUUUGUAUGUAUGUAUUCAUGAUAGGACGAGCCGUAGAGCUUGAUAGAAUUACUCGAUCAUCUUGUGACUAUAUGCACAGAAGAAGUGUUAAUUAGUGAGUUUUUUCUUGGCGAAGUGGAGGUGUCAGAGUAGCGUGACAUCGAAAUGUCAUCAAAUUGCACCAAAAGUUUUAUUAAUUUUUCCAGUAUAUGAUGAGCUGUAACCUCAUGGAAACAUGUCCCAUUUUCUUUUUCAUUUCUCUUUCCAAGAAAGUACCACCUGAUCCCAAAAUUCAUAUUUUUUUUAUGUGCAACAUCUUCUAACAGUUCAUAUGCUUUUCGACUACUCCCUUCGUUUCUAAAUAUAAGACUUUUUGGAGAUUUCAAUAGGGAGUACUCCCUCCGUUCCAAAAUACUUGACUUCCAUUUGUCCAAAAAUGGAUGUACCUAUAUACUAAAACAUGUCUAGAUACAUCUAUAUUUUGACAAAUGAAAGGCAUGUAUUAUGGAACGGAGGGAGUACAUACAGAUGUAUAUAGACAUGUUUUAUUUUCAUUCAAUUUGCUCCAUAUGUAGUCUGUAUUGGUAACAAUAGCCCAUCUUCAUUGCUCCUCCUCUUCAUAUUAUUGCCAUACCUUACCAACUUGAUUUUUUUUUCUUUUGAAAUUUCACUCCGCUCGGCAUAGCAGUAGCGCAGGAGUAGAUGGCAUUUGACAAGGAUGUUGAAAAUAGAACUCACCCCAGGGCUUGAGUUGGUGGACCAAGAUCAACAUCCAUGUGACUCAAUUCGUUGGGGAUGUGGUUAUCAUCCAUGAUGCUUGGUUCUGUCAACUGAGAAGCCAUGUCGUCGUUGAUGAUUGCGGACGAUCCAUUCAAACGGGCUAGUGUUUCACCGGAGCCGCCAGAUGUUCCUUCAGGACUGUCACUAUGUGCUUGUUGAGCCGCUGGCAAUUAAUCAUGCAAGAACACGACUGAGCAUAAAUGUAUAAAUGCUAUAAAUAAAGGGAUAAGUAUAUUUUUCGUCCUCGAACUCUUCCGAGAGUUUAGAAAUCAUCCCUCAAACUCUAAGCCGGAGAGGUUUCGUCCCUCAACUAUCAAAACUGGAUAGUUUUCGUCCCUCGUGCCGCUGCGGGCGGUUUUAGUCCGGCAUGAACAGUAAAUCAGUGAACAAUAAAAUCGAAAAAAUAGCAAAAAAUAAAUAUAAAAAAUUCUAAAAUUUUACAGCAUCGAAGAUAAUCUGGUGCGCAGGACCCGUGCAAAAUUUCAUGGUGUUUCGACAUUCAAGCAGCUCGUGGCAAACAAAAAACUUUAAGUAUGUACGUCGGUGAACAGUAAAUUAAAAAAAUAGCAAAAAAAUCAAAAAACAUGAAACAUUUUGGCAUCAAAGAUGCCUAGGUACGCAAGAUGCUUGCAAAAUUUUGUGACCAAAUGACAUACGAGGAGCUUUAGCCAAAAAAACAAAAACAAAACUAGCGCACUUUUUUAAAAAAAAAUCUGAGCCAAAUUUUGUUUCUUUUUGUCACGAGUUCGUACAAUACCCAAACAUCGCGAAAAUUUGCAAGCACGUUGAGCACCCAAGCCUCUUUUAUGCCAAAAAAUUCAUACCGCUUUGAAUUUUUUUGCUAUUUAUUUUGAAUUUACUGUUCACUGAUGUACAAAUUUAUAGUUUUUUGUUUGCCACGAGCUGCUCGAAUAUCAAAACACCACAAAAUUUUGCACGUGUCUUGCGCACCAAAGUAUCUUCGAUGCUCUAAAAUUUCACAUUUUUUUUUAAUUUUUGUUGCUAUUUUUUCGAUUUUACUGUUCACCACGGACUAAAACCGCCCGAAGCGGCACGAGGGACGAAAACUAUCUGGUUUUGAUAGUUGAGGGACAAAAAUUCUCCGGUUUAGAGAUAAGGGACGAUUUCUAAACUCUGAGAAGAGUUCGAGGACGAAAAAUAUAUACUUAACCCAUAAAUAAAAUAAAUGAAAGUAGAAAGAAUAGAUGUGUGGCGAUCGAUGCACUCACCGCCUUUCACUCCGAAGGUGUUGCCGCACCCUGUGCACUGGCACUUGUCACUGCACCCGACGCCGUGCUUUGAUUCGAGACAGCCGCAAAUCGAGCAUGAGAUCGAGCACCGGCAGCACAUGAAGUCAUGCAAGGCAAAACAAAUAAAAGCAGAGGAGACGUGAGUAUGUACGUACCUUGAAGCACUCGUAGUAGAGCUUCUUGCAUUCAGAAUUGCCGCAGUUGCAUCCCUUGACGUGCACCCCUGCUGCUUGCUGCUGCUGCUGUUGCAGCCCAGGCCCAUCGCCGGUGAUGAUCUUGGGCUUGAAGGCGUCGGGCUUCUUCUUCAUGAUGCACUCUGCGCGCUCAUCCACCUCGUCGGAGUUGUCCUCUGUGUUGCGGCAGCCCAGGCAAGAGCACCCCUCGUCGCAGAACACCCAGGCCUCGAAGCAAUGGCAGUAGCUGCAUGCAUGUGAUUGCGGUUUCGGUGAGGAGGACCGUAAGAGCACGUCGGCGGCGUCUCCAGUGGCUUACUUACCGUUGGAGGCACCGGGUCUUAUCGCAGGUGCAGUGCAGCAAAUCGUCCAUGGCGACCAAGGAAGAAGGGUCAGAGGGGAGAAGACGGGGUAGGAGGCAGAUCUGUUCGAGUCUGAUGCACGGAGUCUCCAAGGAACAAAGAUGUCCUAUACAAUACAACUGCAGACACAGAGUCCAUGCAAUUCUAGUCAAGUUGAUGCAGCGUGACAUCGAAAGGUCAUCGAAAUGCACCAAAAGUUUUAUUAAUUCUUCCACUAUAUGAUGAGCUCUAACCUCAUGGAAACAUGUCCCAUUUUAUUUUUCAUUUCUCUCUCCAAGAAAGUACCACCUGAUCUCGAAAUUCAUGUAUUUUUUUUAUGUGCAACAUCUUCUAACUGUUCAUAUACUUUUCGACUACUCCCUUAGUUUCUAAAUACAAGACUUUUAGGAGAUUUCAAUACUGAGUACUCUGUCCGUUCCAAGAUACUUGACUUCCAUUUGUCCAAAAAUGGAUGUACCUAUAUACUAAAACAUGUCUAGAUACAUCUAUAUUUUGACAAAUGAAAGGCAUGUAUUAUGGAACGGAGAGAGUACAUACAGAUGUAUAUAGACACAUUUUAUUUUCAUUCAAUUUGCUCCAUAUGUAGUCUGUAUUGGUAACAAUAGCCCAUCUUCAUUGCUCCUCCUCUUCAUAUUAUUGCCAUAACUUACCAAUUCGAUUUUUUUUUCUUUUGAAAUUUCACUCUGCUCGGCAUAGCAGUAGCGCAGGAGUAGAUGGCAUUUGACAAGGAUGUUGAAAAUAGAACUCACCCCAGGGCUUGAGUUGGUGGACCAAGAUCAACAUCCAUGUGACUCAAUUCGCUGGGGAUGUGGGUAUCAUCCAUGAUGCUUGUUUCUAUCAAUUGAGAAGCCAUGGCGUCGUUGCUGAUUGCGGACGAUCCAUUCGAACGGGCAAGUGUUUCACCGGAGCCGCCAGAUGUUCCUUCAGGACUGUCACUAUGUGCUUGUUGAGCCACUGGAAAUUGAUCAUGCAAGAGCACGACUGAGCAUAAAUGUAUAAAUGCUAUAAAUAAAGGGAUAAGUAUAUUUUUCGUCCUCGAACUCUUCCGAGAGUUUAGAAAUCGUCCCUCAACUCUAAACCGGAGAGUUUUCGUCCCUCAACUAUCAGAACCGGAUAGUUUUCAUCCCUCAUGCCGCUUCGGGCGGUUUUAGUCCGGGAUGAACAGUAAAUCAAUGAACAAUAAAAUCGAAAAAUAUUAAAAAAUAAAUUAAAGAAGCCUGAAAUUUUACAGCAUCGAAGAUAAUCUGGUGCGCAAGACCCGUGCAAAAUUUCGUGGUGUUUCGACAUUCAAGCAGCUCGUGACAAACAAAAACCUGUAAAUAUGUACGUCGGUGAACAGUAAAUUCAAAAAAUAGCAAAAAAAUUCAAAAAAACAUGAAACAUUUUGGCAUCAAAGAUGCUCAGGUACGCAAGAUGCAUGCAAAAUUUUGUAAUCAAAUGACAUACGAGGAGCUCUAGCCAAAAAACCAAAAUAGCGCACUUUAAAAAAAAAUCUGAGCCAGAUUUUCUUUCUUUUAGUCACGGGUUCGUACAAUACCCAAACAUCACGAAAGUUUGCACGCACGUUGGGCACACAAGCCUCUUUUAUGCCAAAAAAAUUUCAUACCGCUUUGAAUUUUUUCUAUUUAUUUUGAAUUUACUGUUCACUGACGUACAAAUUUAUAGUUUUUUGUUUGCCACGAGCUGCUCGAAUAUCAAAACACCACAAAAUUUUGCACGUGUCUUGCGCACCAAAGUAUCUUCGAUGCUCUAAAAUUUCAGAUUUUUUUAUUUUUGUUGCUAUUUUUUCGAUUUUACUGUUCACCCCGGACUAAAACCGCCCGAAGCGGCACGAGGGACGAAAACUAUCUGGUUUUGAUAGUUGAGGGACGAAAAUUCUGCGGUUUAGAGUUGAGGGAUGAUUUCUAAACUCUGGGAAGAGUUUGAGGACGAAAAAUAUACUUAUCCCAUAAAUAAAAUAAAUGAAAGUAGAAAGAAUAGAUGUGUGGCGAUCGAUGCACUCACCGCCUUUCACUCCAAAGGUGUUGCCGCACCCUGUGCACUGGCACUUGUCGUUGCACCCGACGCCGCGCUUUGGUUCGAGACAGCCGCAAAUCGAGCAUGAGAUCGAGCACUCGCAGCACAUGAAGUCCUGCAAGGCAAAACAAAUAAAAGCAGAGGAGACGUGAGUAUGUACGUACCUUGAAGUACUCGCAGUAGAGCUUCUUGCAUUCAGAAUUGCAGCAGUUGCAUCCCUUGACGUGCACCCCUGCUGCUUGCUGCUGCUGCUGUUGCAGCCCAGGCCCAUCGCCGGCGAUGAUCUGGGGCUUGAAGGCGUCGGGCUUCUUCUUCAUGAUGCACUCUGCGCGCUCAUCCACCUCGUCGGAGUUGUCCUCUGUGUUGCGGCAGCCCAGGCAGGAGCACCCCUCGUCGCAGAACACCCAGGCCUCGAAGAAAUGGCAGUAGCUGCAUGCAUGUGAAUGCGGUUUCGGUGAGGAGGACCGUAAGAGCACGUCGGCGGCGGCGCCAGUGGCUUACUUACCGUUGGAGGCACUGGGUCUUCUCACAACUGAAGUGCGGCAAAUCGUCCAUGGUGGCCAAGGAAGAAGGGUCAUAGGGGAGAAGACGGGGUAGGAGGCAGAUCUGUUCGAGUCUGAUGCACGGAGUCUCCGAGGAACAAAGAUGUCCUAUACAAUACAACUGCAGACACAGAGUCCAUGCAAUUCCAGUCAAGUUGAUGCAGCGUGACAUCGAAAGGUCAUCGAAUUGCACCAAAAGUUUUAUUAAUUUUUCCACUAUAUGAUGAGCUUUAACCUCAUGGAAGUACCACCUGAUCUCAAAAUACUUGACUUCCAUUUGUCCAAAAAUGGAUAUACCUAUAUACUAAAACAUGUCUAGAUACAUCUAUAUUUUGACAAAUGAAAGGCAUGUAUUGUGGAACGGAGGGAGUACAUACAGAUGUAUAUAGACACAUUUUAUUUUCAUUCAAUUUGCUCCCUAUGUAGUCUGUAUUGGAAUCUAUAAAAAGGUUAUAUUUAGGAACGGAGGAGGUAGAAUUUAACAUGCCAUCUUGUUGAGAGCAUUUAUUUAGUAAACCAAAGAGGCGAUGGUGGUUCUUGAGUUGCAUCUCUUAGUUGAAAUGAAAUUAGAGAGCAUUUACAUGAUCAUGCAACAACGUAGGACACAUGCUUCGGCUGAUGAUCAUAUUCAUCCACAGGUCAUGUAACCUAGAUAUAUAUUGGCUGAUGCUCAGAUUUUAUAUUUGAAGAGACCCACGCAUAACAGUCAAUCAGAUUUGCUCAAGUACAAACUGCCACAUUAACUGAUUUAUGAUGUGCAGAAAGUAAUGCUGGUAAAUAUUGGGGAAGAGUUGUUGAAGGUUAAUAACAAAGUGAGGUUUAUUGGGUCAGUUAUUUCCGGGGAUGUUAGAAUAAAUCCGAGGCAUACCGUCGAUCAUCCGAGGACCAAGCAAUCACACGAGCACGACACCGAGAUUUGUUAACGAGGUUCAUCGAUAUGGCUACAUCCCCGGACCUGACUAUGGGCGCUCCUCCCCAUGACACCGCUACAAUACCGCACCCGGUCGCCCUGGACGCCGGCACAUGCCGCCGGCUUCCCCUACGUUCCGGUGCUAUUAUGUUGGCAUAGGUUACAUCGUGUGUCUAUCCCUAUAUAUGAGAGGCCUAGGAUACAAGUGUCCUACUAGGACACGACUCCAUAUCCUAUGUAAACACAAUACUACUCAGAGUCCAACUGUAACCUACCUUGUACACAAUAUUCGACACAACUCUAACAAACUCCACCUUGGCGAAUAUUCUCCACCACCUUGAAUUCGUCAAUGCGUCAAACUUCCAUGUACAUUGGACUUGAGCUUAUCCCAUGAGUACCGCUGCUACUCCAAAGACUCCAUAUGACUCCACCUGCAACUUGUAGUUCCUUCUUUUCUUGACCACAGUCAACACUCGAGCAAAGUUAAGUUCCUAUUACUCUAGUUUGCGCUCCCAACUUCCAGAGUAUCAGUCCAACGCCAUCACACACUGACCACUGACCUGCGUGAAAGUGAACAACUCACAUAUUGGGUGUUACACAUAAGAGUUACUUGAACUCAACAUCAUCGCUCGACCGCCUGUCUGAAACUUGUAGGAAUUUCACCGUUGCUUGUAGUCAUCCCGAGUCAGCACACAAUGCAAAUCUGAUUUGAAGAGACCCUAGCAUAUUCAUAGGCGGGUGAAAGCAAAGAGGAACAUGCACACAAUGCAAUCUAUUUUUGACCCAAAAACAAAUGGGUUACAUGAUCUACAACUCCUUGGACGAUCUAGAAAGACAUGGCAGAUAAUACAAGCCAAACAAUAAAUGUUAAGAUACAUCAACCAAACAUUUCAUGGUCAUGCGGCAACGAAGGUCACAUGCUUCAGCUGAUGAUUCAAAUUCAUCCACAUGUAACCUACAUAGGCAACUCGGGUGAAAGAGUCAAUCGCCACUAGCAACUCAUCUAGAUAGUGUAUCUGCUUCUUUAGCUUCUCGCCAUGCUCAGGCAGCCUCGACACCAGCGUCAGCGACAAUUGGUUCUAUUCAACAAGUCAUAUUAUGUGUGUAUCUCCAGGUGGCCUGAGCAUAUCAAUUGGAUCCUUGUUGCACACAAAGCGGGCAUAACUAUUAGACAUGGUGGCGGCAUGGUGCACCACCAGUCAGGCUCGCAGCCGUUGACCCACAACGUGAGGUUGCAGUUCUUGUUGGGCUUGACAUAGUUCUUGCAGCUGGCAUCGAGGAUGCUCUCGAAGUUCUCGCGGCCCGUUGGUUUUUGCCUUCGUUUUGUCAGGGCUCCCAAGAUUUUCGCCUAGAUUUCUUCGGGGAUCUCUUCCUGUACUGCCUGGCCAUCAUGUGCAUUGGUUGGCUCCUUGCUGCACAUACAACCAGCAAAACAGCCAUAACUAUUAGACAUUCACCCCUGCAACAUGACUAGCUCAGGAGAAACUACCAAACAUGCAAUGAAAUAACAAACUUAUUUUAAGCCUAGAAAUAUCAAAUCAACACAAUCAGUACAUAGUAAAACAAUAGAGAGGGUUUAUCAGGCAAUAAGAUAGCCAUACCCAUAAUGAUCCAAAGUAUUAAGAUAGCCAGGAGAGAGCUUACCAACAAACCCAAAACAAACAAUGCAAGUGAGAUUUAGUUUUGGUAAAUAACGGACACAAGCAGUAGACUAGUAACCAAUGGGACACCAUCUAAUCUGGUUGAAUUCUUUUUAUUCCCUGUCCUUGAUCUUCAAAUUGUUAGGCCAUAGGUGCUAGCUCUCAUCCAUGACUCUCGUACUAUUUUCCUCUCUCACACACACAUGGGCAAAAGGAACUCUACUGUCAAGUGUCAAUGCACAUUCUGUAGGGCGAUGUGAAAGUAGUACUCCCUCUAUUUGUAAAUAUAAAACCUUUUAGAGAUUUCAAUACGGACUACAUACACUCAUUUUGCCCCGUAUGUAGUCUGUAUUGGAAUCUGUAAAAGGCCUUAUAUUUAGGAACGGAGGGAGUAUGAAGCAAAAUCAUCAGGAGGGAACCCAUUUCAGGCCAGGCCCUGAAAGCAAGUGUGGGUUACCUCGCAAAGACAAAUAUACUAGUACUACAUAAGACAGCGGCAGGAGCGAUGAGCAGUAAAAAAAAUGCCAAGGAUCAGCAAUAGAAUCAAAGUCACUAUCAAAACAAGAGAUAAGUCCUAGCGUUCCACACCAUACAACAAAAAAAACAAGAAGAGCAGGGCAUCAUCAACAGUUCUAAGUGUAGCCAAGCUAUCAGCAGUUAGCAGACCAUCAUUAACACGCAUCCAAAGGCUAGCCUAGCAGUAGGGGGGCUUUGAUCUAUGAUCCUGCACCAAUGUUUUUAGAUCGGUCAGCAGGAUAAUUUUUCACCCAGGUCCCCGGAAGACAGACAUUGAGACCCCUGAGGUUCAAAAACCCCAUACCACCAAAAUCGUUUCUCAGGUAGAUAUAGCAAGAUGGUAUUAAUUUAUACAACCAUCAAGUUAAUGUCUACAACCAUCACUGAGUUAGAUGGAUCUUCAACCUGAGCUAGGCGGCGGUGCACAAGCACUGUGGCAAGUCCCCUGCACCAUGUCAGAUAGAUUAAUGUGUGGGCCAUGAACCAGAAUCAUUCAGAAACAUGACAAGGAAAAUUGCUCACGCCCCUUGAUGGACCAUUGCUGUAAUUUAUCCAAAAUGAUGGUCGUUUCGAUUUAUUCAAACAGUAAACUAACUGACUAACAUGGUGUGUCCUAUUUUAUCUUGUUGAUGAAUGAAACAACCCUUCCAUCGAUUAGUUCAACCAUGAUGAAUAAUUGGGCAGGACAAACAAAACAGUAACUCCCUAACAAAACAGCCCCUUCCCUUAUUAAAGGAAAUUCGCCCAUAUUAAUGGAAAUUGUGUGAUUGUUUCAAUUUAUCUCCAGGUGGCCUUGAGCAUAUCAAUUUGCAUAUUUGCAGGAGAAUUACCAGGUUCGGAAGGGUUGGCAGCAGUUUGAUUUUCACCUUCAUUUCACCGAGAUUUCUUCAGGGCUUGCUACACAUACUGCCAGUCCAUCAUAGGCAUGGUUGCAUCCUUGCUGCACACACAACGGGCAUAACUAUUAUACAGGGUUGUGGCAUGGUGCACCCCCAGUCAGGCUCGCAGCCGUUGACCCAUAACGUGAGGUUGCAGUUCUUGUUGGGCUUGACGUAGUUCUUGCAGCUGGCAUCGAGGAUGCUCUCGAAGUUCUCACGGCCCGUUGGUUUUUUCCUUCGUUUUGUCAGGGCUCCCUAGAUUUUCUCCUAGAUUUCUUCAGGGAUCUCUUCCCGUACUGCCUUGCCAUCAUGGGCAUUGGUUAGCUCCUUGCUGCACAUACAACCAGCAUAACUAUUAGACAUUCAUCCCUGGAACAUGACUAGCUCAGGAGAAACUACCAGACACGCAAUGAAAUAACCAAGUUAUUUUAAGCCUAGAAAUAUCAAACUCAACACAAUCAGUACAUAGUAAAACAAAUAAACCAAAUCAGGGAGUUAUCAACAAUCAUAUCCACAUAACAACCAUUUGAUACGUCCAUAUGGAAUCCAACCACAUAAAAAAGAGCAACUAAGAUAGGUGGAAUCCAACCACACCAAAAUCAUCAGCUAAUAGAGAUGAAAAUCAAGACAAAAGCACACAAAAUGGGCCCGACGAUCACUAACAGGCACAACAAGGACAAGCACUAAAAGGGAAAUGAAACUAGCACAGCUACACCGGAGAAAAUUUAACAUGCUUAAACUAUUGGCAGAUUGCAAAUGAAUGCAACUUUGCUAACCAAUAACAGGAUGCUCAAAUGUCAAUCACACCUCAUACAAGCGGAACAAGGUAAACAUAUAAUUCUUCAAAUGGCGUCUAUAGAGGGUGUCCGUCACAGCAUGAAAAGAAGUGCGCUAACAGAUUUGUUCUUUUCAUAUCAAGUUCUACACCCUAAGGAAAUGAUACUUGACAUUAGAAAAGCUCUGAGCAAACGAACUACACGAUCUUGUGCUAGGCUUAGGAUUGGGUCUUGUCCAUCACAUCAUUCUCCUCAUGAUGUGAUCCCGUUAUCAACGACAUCCAAUGUCCAUGGUCAGGAAACCGUAACCAUCUAUUGAUCAACGAGCUAGUCAACUAGAGGCUUACUAGGGACAUGGUGUUGUCUAUGUAUCCACACAUGUAUCUGAGUUUCCUAUCAAUACAAUUCCAGCAUGGAUAAUAAACGAUUAUCAUGAACAAAGAAAUAUAAUAAUAACCAAUUUAUUAUUGCCUCUAGGGCAUAUUUCCAACAAUCUCCCACUUGCACUAGAGUCAAUAAUCUAGUUCACAUCACCAUGUGAUUAACACUCACAGGUCACAUCACCAUGUGACCAACAUCUAAAGAGUUUACUAGAGUCAACAAUCUAGUUCACAUCACUAUGUGAUUAACACUCAAUGAGUUCUAGUUUGAUCAUGUUAUGCUUGUGAGAGAGGUUAUUAGUCAACGGGUCUGAACCUUUCAGAUCCGUGUGUGCUUUACGAAUAUCUAUGUCAUCUUGUGGAUGCUACCACGCGCUAUUUGGAGCCAUUUCAAAUAACUGCUCUAUUAUACGAAUCCGGUUUACUACUCAGAGCCAUCCGGAUUAGUGUCAAAGUUCGCAUCGACGUAACCCUUUACGACGAACUCCUUUUCACCUCCAUAAUCGAGAAAAUUCCUUAGUCCACUAGAUACUAAGGAUAAGUUCGACCGCUGUCAUGUGAUCCUUUCCCGGAUCACUAUUGUACCCCUUGACCAACUUAUGGCAAGGCACACUACAUGUGCGGUACACAGCAUAGCAUACUAUAGAGCCUACGUCUAAAGCAUAGGGGACGACAUUCGUCCUUUCUCUCUCUUCUGUUGUGGUCAGGUCUUGAGUCUUACUCAAUACUCACACCUUGUAACACAGCCAAGAACUCCUUCUUUGCUGAUCUAUUUUGAACUCUUUCAAAAUCAUGUCAAGGUGUGUGUUCUUUGAAAGUAUCAUCAGGCGUCUUGAUCUAUCUCUAUAGAUCUUGAUGCCCAAUAUGUAAGCAGCUUUAUCCAGGUCUUCCUUUGAAAAACUCCUUUCAAACAACCCUUUAUGCUUUCCAGAAAUUCUACAUCAUCUCUGAUCAACAAUAUGUCAACAACAUAUACUCAUCAGAAAUUCUAUAGUGCUCCCACUCACUUCUUUGGAAAUACAAGUUUCUCAUAAACUUUGUAUAAACCCAAAAUCUUUGAUCAUCUCAUCAAAGCGUACAUUCCAACUCCGAGAUGCUUACUCCAGUCCAUGGAAGGAUCACUGGAGCUAGCAUACCUUUUAGCAUCCUUAGGAUCGACAAAACCUUUCUGAUUGUAUCACAUACAACCUUUCCUUACGAAAACUGGUAAGGAAACUUGUUUUGACAUCCAUCUGCCAGAUUUCAUAAAUGCAGCUAAUGCUAACAUGAUUCCGACGGACUUAAGCAUCGCUACGGAUGAGAAAAUCUCAUCGUAGUCAACUCCUUGAACUUGUGGAAAUACUCUUUGCCACAAGUCGAGCUUCAUAGACGGUAACAUUACCGUCCACGUCCGUCUUCUUCUCAAAGAUCCAUUUAUCUCGGAUUUCAUGGCUUCUAACCUUUUGUCGGAAUAUGGGCCCACCAUCGCUUCUCCAUAGCUCGUAGGUUCAGUAUUGUCCAACAACAUGAUAUCUCAGACAGGAUCACGUACCACUCUGAAGUAGCACGCAUCCUCGUCGUCCUACGAGGUUUGGUGGUGACUUGAUCCGAAGUUUCAUGAUCACUAUCAUAAGCUUCCACUUCAAUUGGUGUAGGUGCCACAGGAACAACUUCCUGUGCCCUGCUACACACUGGUUGAAGUGACGGUUCAAUAACCUUAUCAAGUCUCCACCAUCCUCCCACUCAAUUCUUUCGAGAGAAACUUUUCCUCGAGAAAGGACUCGUUUCUAGAAGCAAUUACUUUUGCUUCCAGAUCUGAAAUAGGAGGUAUACCCAACUGUUUUGGGUUUUCUAUGAAGAUGCAUUUAUCCGCUUUGGGUUCGAGCUUAUCAGCCUGAAACUUUUUCACAUAAGCAUCGCAACCCAAACUUUGAAGAAACGACAACUUAGGUUUCUCUAAACGGUGUCGUCUCAACGGAAUUGCGUGGUGCCCUAUUUAAAGUGAAUGCGGUUGUCUCUAAUGCCUAACCCAUAAACGAUAGUGGUAAUUCGAUAAGAGACAUCAUGGCAUGCACCAUAUCCAAUAGGGUGCAGUUAUGAUGUUCGGACACACUAUCACACUAUGGUGUUUCAGGCGGUAUUAAUUGUGAAACACUUUCCACAAUGUCUUAAUUGUGUGCCAAACUCGUAACUCAGAUACUCAUCUCUAUGAUCAUAUCACAGACAUUUUAUCCUCUUGUCACGACGAUCUUCAACUUCACUCUGAAAUUACUUGAACCUUUCAAUAAUUCAGACUUGUGUUUCAUCAAGUAAAUACACUCAGCAUCUACUCAAACCAUCUGUGAAGUAAGAACAUAUCGAUAUCCACUGCGUGCCUCAGCACUCAUUGGACUGCACACAUCAAAUGUAUUACUUCCAACAAGUUGCUCUCUUGUUCCAUCUUACUGAAAACGAGGCCUUUCAGUCAUCUUGCUCAUGUGGUAUGAUUUGCAUGUCUCAAGUGAUUCAAAAUCAAGUGAGUCCAAACGAUCCAUCUGCAUGGAGUUUCUUCAUGCAUAUAUACCAAUAGACAUGGUUCGCAUGUCUCAAUCUUUUCAAAAACGAGUGAGUCCAAAGAUCCAUCUACAUGGAGCUUCUUCAUGCGUUUUAUCCCAAUAUGACUCAAACAGCAGUGCCACAAGUAUGUGGUACUAUCAUUACUUUUGGCAUGAACAUGUGUAUCACUACGAUCGAGAUUUAUUUUAGGUGUAAGACCAUUGAAGGUAUUAUUCAAAUAAACAGAGUAACCAUUAUUCUCCUUAAAUGAAUAACCGUAUUGCGAUAAACAUAAUCCAAUCAUGUUUAUGCUCAACGCAAACACCAAUCUCGAUGGUAGAGGGAGCAUGCGAUGCUUGAUCACAUCAACCUUGGAAACACUUCCAACACACAUCGUCAUCUCACCUUUAGCUAGUCUCCAUUUAUUCCGCAGCUUUUAUUUCGAGUUACUAACACUUAGCAACCGAACCGGUAUCUAAUACCCUGGUGCUGCUAGGAGUACUAGUAAAGUACACAUUCAUAUAAUGUAUAUCCAAUAUACUUCUGUCGACCUUGCCUGCCUUCUCAUCUACCAAAUAUCUAGGGUAGUACUGCUUCAGUGACCGUUCCCCUCAUUACAGAAGCACUUAGUCUCGGGUUUGGGUUCAACCUUGGGAUUCUUCACUAGAGCAGCAAACGAUUUGCUGUUUCAUGAAGUAUCCCUUUUGCCCUUGCCCUUCUAGAAACUAGUGGUUUUACUAACCAUCAACAAUUGAUGCUCCUUCUUGAUUUCUACUUUCGCGGUGUCAAACAUCGCGAAUAGCUCAAGGAUCAUCAUAACUACCCCUGAUAUGUUAUAGUUCAUCACGAAGCUCUACUAGCUUGGUGGCAGUGACUAUGGAGAACCAUCACUAUCUCAUCUGGGAGAUUAACUCCCACUCGAUUCAAGCGAUUGUGGUACUCAGACAAUCUGAGCACAUGCUCAACGAUUGAGCUUUUCUCCCUUAGUUUGCAGGCUUAAGAAACUUGUCAGAGGUCUCAUACCUCUUGACAUGGGCACUAGUCUGAAAUCCCAAUUUCACUGUUCGGAACAUCUCAUAUGUUCUGCGACGUUUCAAAACCGUCUUUGGUGCCACAAUUCUAAACCGUUAGCAAUACACACUGAACUAUCACGUAGUCAUCAAAACGUGUGUGUCAGAUGUUUCGCAACAUCUACAGACGACGCUGAGGUUCAGCACACCGAGCGGUGCAUUAAGGACAUAAGCCUUCUGUGCAGCAAUGAGGACAAUCCUCAGUUUACGGACCCAGUCCGCAUAAUUGCUACUACCAACUUUCAACUAAAUUUUUCUCUAGGAACGUAUCUUAAACAGUAGAACUAAAGCGCAAGCUAUGACAUAAUUUGCAAAGACCUUUUUGACUAUGUUCAUGAUAAUGAAGUUCAACUGAUUAUGAACUCCCACUCAGAUAGACAUCCCUCUAGUCUUCUAAGUGAUACAUGAUCCGAGUCAAACUAGGCCGUGUCCGAUCAUCACGUGAGACGGACUAGUCAUCAUCGGUGAACAUCUCCAUGUUGAUUGUAUCUUCUAUACGACUCAUGCUCGACCUUUCGGUCUCUUGUGUUCCGAGGCCAUGUCUGUACAUGCUAGGCUCGUCAAGUCAACCUAAGUGUUUCGCAUGUGUUCCGAGGCCAUGUCUGUACAUGCUAGGCUCGUCAACACCCGUUGUAUUCGAACGUUAUAAUCUAUCACACCUGAUCAUCACGUGGUGCUUCAAAACAACGAACCUUCGCAACGGUGCACAGUUAGGGGGAACACUUCUCUUGAAAUUUUAGUGAGUGAUCAUCUUACUUACUACCGUCGUUCUAAGCAAAUAAGAUGCAAAACAUGAUAAACAUCACAUGCAAUCAAAUAGUGACAUGAUAUGGCCAAUAUCAUUUUGCUCCUUUGAUCUCCAUCUUCGGGGCACCAUGAUCAUCUUCGUCAUCGGCAUGACACCAUGAUCUCCAUCAUCAUGAUCUCCAUCAUUGUGUCUUUAUGAAGUUGUCACGCCAACGAUUACUUCUACUUCUAUGGCUAACGCGCUUAGCAAUAAAGUAAAGUAAUUUACAUGGCGUUAUUCAAUGACACGCAGGUCAUGCAAAAAAUAAAGACAACUCCUAUGGCUCCUGCCGGUUGUCAUACUCAUCGACAUGCAAGUCGUGAUUCCUAUUACAAGAAUAUGAUCAAUCUCAUACAUCACAUAUAUCAUUCAUCACAUCUUCUGGACAUAUCACAUCACAUAGCACAUGCUGCAAAAACAAGUUAGACGUCCUCUAAUUGUUGUUGCAAGUUUUUACGUGGCUUGUUUAGGUUUCUAGCAAGAACGUUUCUUACCUACGUAAAACCACAACGUGAUAUGCCAAUUUCUAUUUACCCUUCAUAAGGACCCUUUUCAUCGAAUCCGUUCCGACUAAAGUGGGAGAGACAGACACCCGCUAGCCACCUUAUGCAACUAGUGCAUGUCAGUCGGUGGAACCUGUCUCACGUAAGCGUACGUGUAAGGUCGGUCCGGGCCGCUUCAUCCCACAAUGCCGCCGAAACAAGAUAAGACUAGUAGCGGCAAGAAGAAUUGGCAACAUCAACGCCCACAACUGCUUUGUGUUCUACUUGUGCAUAGAAACUACGCAUAGACCUAGCUCAUGAUACCACUGUUGGGGAACAUAGCAGAAAUUCAAAAUUUUCUACGAAUCACCAAGAUCAAUCUAUGGAGUAAUCUAGCAACGAGGGGAAGGGGAGUGCAUCUACAUACCAUUGUAGAUCGCGAUGCGGAAGCGUUGCAAGAACGCGGAUGAAGGAGUCGUACUCGUAGCGAUUCAGAUCGCGGUUGAUUCCAAUCUAAGCACCGAAGAACGGUGCCUCCGCGUUCAUCACACGUGCAGCCCGGUGACGUCUCCCACGCCUUGAUCCAGCAAGGAGAGAGGGAGAGGUUGGGGAAGACUCCGUCCAGCAGCAGCACGACGGCGUGGUGGUGAUGGAGGAGCGUGGCAAUCCCGCAGGGCUUCGCCAAGCACCGCGGGAGAGGAGGAGGAGGGAGAGGGGUAGGGCUGCACCGAAAGAGAGACGUUCUCGUGUCUAUGGGCAGCCCCAAACCUCAACUAUAUAUAGGGGGGGAGGGGGCUGCGCCCCCUCUAGGGUUUCCACCCCAAGGGCUGGCGGCCAGCCCUAGAUCCCAUCUAGGGGGGCGGCCAAGGGGAGGAGAGGGGGGGCGCCACUAGGGUGGGCCUUAAGGCCCAUCUGGACCUAGGGUUUGCCCCCUCCCACUCUCCCAUGCGCCUUGGCCCUUGGUGGGGGGGCGCACCAGCCCACCUGGGGCUGGUCCCCUCCCACACUUGGCCCACACAGCCUUCUGGGGCUGGUGGCCCCACUUGGUGGACCCCCGGGACCCUCCCGGUGGUCCCGGUACAUUACCGAUAUCACCCGAAACUUUUCUGGUGACCAAAACAGGACUUCCCAUAUAUAAAUCUUUACCUCCGGACCAUUCCGGAACUCCUCGUGACGUCCGGGAUCUCAUCCGGGACUCCGAACAACAUUCGGUAACCACGUAUAUCUUUUCCCUAUAACCCUAGCGUCAUCGAACCUUAAGUGUGUAGACCCUACGGGUUCGGGAACCAUGCAGACAUGACCGAGACGUUCUCCGGUCAAUAACCAACAGCGGGAUCUGGAUACCCAUGUUGGCUCCCACAUGUUCCACGAUGAUCUCAUCGGAUGAACCACGAUGUCGGGGAUUCAAUCAAUCCCGUAUGCAAUUCCCUUUGUCUAUCGAUAUGUUACUUGCCCGAGAUUCGAUCGUCGGUAUCCCGAUACCUUGUUCAAUCUCGUUACCGGCAAGUCUCUUUACUCGUUCCGUAACUCACAUCAUCCCGUGAUCAACUCCUUGGUCACACUGUGCACAUUAUGAUGAUGUCCUACCGAGUGGGCCCAGAGAUACCUCUCCGUUUACACGGAGUGACAAAUCCCAGUCUCGAUUCAUGCCAACCCAACAGACACUUUCGGAGAUACCUGUAGUGCACCUUUAUAGCCACCCAGUUACGUUGUGACGUUUGGUACACCCAAAGCAUUCCUACGGUAUCCGGGAGUUGCACAAUCUCAUGGUCUAAGGAAAUGAUACUUGACAUUAGAAAAGCUCUGAGCAAACGAACUACACGAUCUUGUGCUAGGCUUAGGAUUGGGUCUUGUCCAUCACAUCAUUCUUCUAACGAUGUGAUCCCGUUAUCAACGACAUCCAAUGUCCAUGGUCAGGAAACCGUAACCAUCUAUUGAUCAACGAGCUAGUCAACUAGAGGCUUACUAGGGACAUGGUGUUGUCUAUGUAUCCACACAUGUAUCUGAGUUUCCUAUCAAUACAAUUCCAGCAUGGAUAAUAAACGAUUAUCAUGAACAAGGAAAUAUAAUAAUAACCAAUUUAUUAUUGCCUCUAGGGCAUAUUUCCAACAGUUAUGCUCAUGGAAGGUUCUCAAACGGUGUUGCGUACCCUAUUACCCUCAGCGCUAUCAUUGGGUUGAGCGGCUGGCUUCCCUGCUCCAGGUCUGACACUGAUAUUUUUGACAAAAAAACAUUCAUGUUACUGAUACAGUAUAUUGGUAGUAUCUGUUAAGCUCAUAUUCGAAUAUUGUUUAGGACCCUGAGGACCAAGAUUGAGAGCUCACAGACUGCUUUCAGGAGGGCUGCUGCCUUGCCGAUAAUGCUUGGCCAUGGAAGAGGUUAGCAUUGCUAUUGUUUUGCAGUCCAUGUGCUGAAUUAAUCUCUUCUGAAUUGUGCAAUUUACUACUACUAAAAAUGGUUAAUUUCCUUCUUUGUGUUCCUGCAGGGGACGAGGUAGUCACGUACAGGAACGGUGAGAGGUCAGCCGAGUUUCUGCGGAACUCGGGCUUUUCUUACCUGAAUUUGAAAGCCUACAACGGGUACUACAGAUGGACAUGCACAAUUUUCCCACUUCGUAUUUUUCUUCUGAAAUUUAGUAGUACUGAUAUCAUGUCAUUUGUGCAGACUAGGCCAUCACACCAUCCCUGAGGAAAUGGACGAUGUCUCCAAGUGGCUCAGGGCAAGGCUCGGGCUUGAUCGCUCUUGCGGCUAAGUGGAGAAGCUUGUGCCUUGGUGGCUGACACAUGACAUGAGAGAAAAGUAUUAAAACUAUAGAGGAGGAGAAGGGUGAUAUAUAUAGGUUAAUCAUAUGAAGGGACCACGACCGGCACGUUUUGAUAUAUAAGUCAUCACUAGUGAAUUUCAUGUUACACUUAUAUUGUACUAGUAAGAGUUGUACCCGAAUAUUCAAAGGCGUGGACGAGCUUGCCUGGUCACGUUAUCGUCGAACGUCCAAUCGAUUCGGGAUAUGGGACGUACGCGCUAUUCUAGGACGUGUACGCCGGCUCAUUAAAUGCGUAUUGUGGACGGGAGGAGCACACGUUUGUAUGGUGCGUGCCGACGGACGUGUGCCCUGGCGACAGCGUUUCGGUACUGCACCAACGCGUGCCAAAGGUGCAAACGGAAUCGAUGCCCCGUCAGAUUCGUCUGUUAUCGAUGCCCCGCCAGCUCUUCCCUUCACGGAAUCAUGCGAGCAACCAAUGGCAAUUAUCGAUCUGUUCUUUUGUGUGACACGUCUGCAAGUUGCGAGCGAAAAACAAACACGAGCGGCACGUACCUGCAAUAGUGAACGACCCUGCUGCAGAACUGCAUGCGCCGGAGAACCGCCACCACCGGCAUGAUCUUUCAGAACUCAUAUUCUAAACAUGGUUGUCUUGAUCAGUGCCGACAGCUAGGCCAUUCGAGCUCGAACCGGAGGAGGCAUGGAUAACAGAGCUCCCGCCGGAAGCCGGGGCAGACAUCUUCACUCACACACAGUGAAACAGGCUGUCUGAUCCUAGGGUAGGCUGUAGAUGAGACUACGGUGUGACCUCUCCGGAAGGAUGCAGUGCAGCCCCCUCGUCAAGUACACGCACUUGGGGAGCCCUCACAGGUGUUUAGGCUGCAGCCACAUUGAAGCACUGUUGUCACUGCCUAGCUGUAUAGUAGAAACUGAUGCCAAGCAACCUUGCAGGAGGGAACAGAGAAAAGUAACUGAAUUUUUGCUAACAACAAGUCACUCGACAGUUAUUUUGGCUUUUCAACUACUAUGCAAUGGAAUCCAUGCUAACAUGGACACGCCACAUGAGAUCCCAGUCAGCUUACAUACAUAAUAUUCACACAAGACAGGCAAACUGAAUACAACAGUUUUUAUUACGCGUAAGACAGUCUUCCAGAUAAUGGCUACGGAGCCCUCAACAACAUACAAAAAAACUAAAUCUAAUAAGGGUCAGCCGCAAAUUGCAUGUCAGCAUUUUCUACAACAUGCAGCACAACCUUAGGCUUGUUGCAGGUGUUCUUCCUGUGCCCGCACUAGUAGAAAAAGAGGCUUCCAUACGCCCCCAUUAGUCCCUAAAAUAAUCGAACCGCGACCAAAGGGGUCUUUAGUCGCGGUUCGGGAGGAGACCCGCGACCAACUAUCUAGGCCCAGCGCGCUCGGUCGACAGCUGGCGGACGGGAGGGGCUUUAGUCCCGGUUGGCCUGGCCAACCGGGACUAAAGGUCCUCAGGCUGGCCCGAAGGCCUUUAGUUGCGGUUGGCCAGGCCAACCGGGACUAAAGGCCCAUCCCUAUAUAUAGGACUCAGCUCACUUCACUUAGCCACAAUUCAGAAGGGGGGUGGUGGGUUUGCUUUUGGUUCCUCCUAUGCACACAAGGUGUUCGAUGAAAUGCCCGAGAGCAUGAAACAAACAUGAUAUGAAGUGUCCGAGCCACACUUGAGCUUUCUCAUUUAUUUUUCCUCCGCGAUCGCGGUUAGCAACUUGAACCUUUCAUGUGUCAUUGAUAAAAUAUGCAUGUGUGUAGUUCAUUGUUUAAUUUGUAUUAUUUCUAGCUAGUUAGUUUAACAAAUGCAUGAUGGUUAAUUAUAUAUUGAAUCGGCAAUGGAUGUACGGUCCCCGACUCUCCGGCGAGUUCACUACGGGUUUGAAAGAUUUCCUCGUAGUGGCAAAUGCGAACAAGCAGCGAGGUUUUAUUAUCUGUCCAUGUGCUGUCUAUAAGAAUCAGAAGGGUUACUCCUCCUCAAGAGACGUUCACAUGCACCUGCUUCGGCACGGUUUCAUGCGAAGCUAUAAUUGUUGGACCAAGCAUGGAGAAAGAGGGGUUAGAAUGGAAGAAGAUGAAGAAGGGGAUGAUAUCGAUGACUACUAUCAUGAUCAUUUCGGUGAUACUUUCAUGGAGGAUGAUGCUGAAGGUGGGGAAGGGUUAGGUGAAGGUGAAGAAGAGGCACAUGAUGAGCCCGCUGAUGAUCUUGGUCGGACCAUUGCUGAUGCACGGAGACGCUGCGAAACUGACAAGGAGAGGGAGAAUUUGGAUCGCAUGUUAGAGGAUCACAAAAAGUCGUUGUACCCAGGAUGCGAUAAUAGUCUGAAAAAGCUGGGCUGCACACUGGAUUUGCUAAAAUGGAAGGCACAGAAAGGUGUAGCUGACUCAUCAUUUGAAAAUUUGCUGAAAAUGUUGAAGAAUAUGUUUCCGAAGAAUAACGAGUUGCCCGUCAGUACAUACGAAGCAAAGAAGGUUGUCUGCCCUCUAGGUUUAGAGGUUCUGAAGAUACAUGCAUGCAUUAACGACUGCAUCCUCUACCGCGGUGAAUACGAGAAUUUGAAUGAAUGCCUUGUAUGCACUGCAUUGCGUUAUAAGAUCAGAGGCGAUGACCCUGGUGACGAUGUUGAGGGCGAGAAACCCAGGAAGAGGGUUCCCGCCAAGGUGAUGUGGUAUGCUCCUAUAAUACCACAGUUGAAACGUCUGUUCAGGAACAAAAAGCAUGCCAAGUCGUUGCGAUGGCACAAAGAGGACCGUAAGUCCGACGGGGAGUUGAGACACUCCGCUGAUGGAACGCAAUGGAGAAAGAUCGACAGAGUGUUCAAAGAUUUUGCAGCUAACGCAAGGAACAUAAGAUUUGGUCUAAGUACUGAUGGCAUGAAUCCUUUUGGCGAGCAGAGCUCCAGCCAUAGCACCUGGCCCGUGACUCUAUGCAUCUGCAACCUUCCUCCUUGGUUGUGCAUGAAGCGGAAGUUCAUUAUGAUGCCAGUGCUCAUCCAAGGUCCAAAGCAACCCGGGAACGACAUCGAUGUGUACCUAAGGCCAUUAGUUGAUGAACUUUUACAGUUGUGGGGCAGACCUGGUGUACGUGUCUGGGAUGAGCACAAAGAAGAGGAAUUUGACCUACGAGCGUUGCUUUUUGUAACCAUCAACGAUUGGCCUGCUCUCAGUAACCUUUCAGGACAGACAAAUAAGGGAUACAAUGCAUGCACGCACUGCUUACAUGAGACUGAAAGUGUCCGUUUGCGUAAUUGUAAGAAGAACGUGUACCUGGGUCAUCGUCGAUUUCUUCCCCGAAAUCAUAACGUAAGAAAGAAAGGCAAGCAUUUCAACGGCAAGGCAGAUCACCGGCCGAAGCCUGCGGAACGUACUGGUGCUGAGAUAUUUGAUAUGGUCAAGGAUUUGAAAGUCAUCUUUGGAAAGGGUCCUGGCGGACAAUCAGUUCCGCGGGGAGUUGACGGGCACGCACCCAUGUGGAAGAAGAAAUCUAUAUUUUGGGAGCUAGAAUAUUGGAAAGUCCUAGAUGUCCGCUCUGCAAUCGACGUGAUGCAUGUUACGAAGAAUAUUUGCGUGAACCUGCUAAGCUUCUUGGGCGUGUAUGGGAAGACAAAUGAUACAAAGGAAGCACGGCAGGACCAGCAACUUUUGAAAGACCCAGAUGACCGGCAUCCGGAAUGGUUUCAAGGUCGUGCCAGCUACGCUCUUACCAAAGAAGAGAAGGUCAUUUUUUUUUGAAUGCCUGAGCAGUAUGAAGGUCCCGUCUGGCUUCUCGUCGAAUAUAAAGGGAAUAAUAAACAUGGCGGACAAAAAGUUCCUAAACCUGAAGUCUCACGACUGCCACGUGAUUAUGACGCAAUUGCUUCCGAUUGCUUUGAGGGGGCUCCUACCGGAAAAUGUUCGAGUAGCCAUUGUGAAGCUAUGUGCAUUCCUCAAUGCAAUCUCUCAGAAGGUAAUCAAUCCAGAAGAUCUACCACGGUUACAGAACGAUGUGGUCCAAUGCCUUGUCAGUUUCGAGUUGGUGUUCCCACCAUCCUUCUUCGAUAUUAUGACGCACCUCCUGCUCCACCUAGUCGAAGAGAUUUCCAUUCUCGGUCCUGUAUUUCUACACAAUAUGUUCCCCUUUGAGAGGUUCAUGGGAGUAUUAAAGAAAUAUGUUCGUAACCGUGCUAGGCCAGAAGGAAGCAUCGUCAAGGGCUAUGGAAAUGAGGAGGUAAUUGAGUUCUGUAUUGACUAUAUUCCUGACCUUAAGCCGAUUGGUAUUCCUCAAUCGCGGCACGAGGGGAGACUAAGUGGAAAAGGCACAAUCGGAAGGAAAUCAACGAUAUGUAUGGACGGUCAUUCUAUGACUGAAGCACACCACACAGUUCUGCAAAAUUCCAGCUUGGUGGCUCCGUACUUCGAGCAACACAAGAAUAUUUUACGCUCGGACAACCCGGGGAAGCCUGAAUCCUGGAUUAGGAAGGCCCACAUGGAGACGUUCGGCAGUUGGUUGCGAAAACAUUUAAUGAAUGACAAUGAUGUUGGAGAUCAGCUGUACAUGUUGGCCAAGACACCAUCUUCGACUAUAACGACUUUCCAAGGGUACGAGAUAAAUGGGAAUACAUUUUACACCAUCGCCCAAGAUAAAAAGAGCACCAACCAAAACAGUGGUGUCCGCUUUGAUGCAGCAACCGAGAAUGGGCAAAAGGUCACAUAUUAUGGUUACAUAGAGGAGAUAUGGGAACUUGACUAUGGACCCUCCUUUAAGGUCCCUUUGUUUCGGUGCAAAUGGUUCAAGCUAACAGGAGGUGGGGUAAAGGUGGACGAGCAAUACGGAAUGACAAUGGUGGAUUUCAACAAUCUUGGUUACCUUGACGAACCAUUCGUCCUUGCCAAAGAUGUCGCUCAGGUUUUUUAUUUGAAGGACAUGAGUAGCAAACCGAGGAAACGGAAAGAUAAGAAAACGAUCAGUACAUCAUGCGAUGAUCCAAAGCGCCACAUUGUUCUUUCAGGGAAAAGAAACAUCGUGGGAGUGGAGGACAAGACAGACAUGUCAGAAGAUUAUAAUAUGUUUGGUGAAAUUCCGCCCUUCAAAGUGAACACUGACCCAAGCAUUAAGUUNNNNNNNNNNNNNNNNNNNNNNNNNNNNNNNNNNNNNNNNNNNNNNNNNNNNNNNNNNNNNNNNNNNNNNNNNNNNNNNNNNNNNNNNNNNNNNNNNNNNNNNNNNNNNNNNNNNNNNNNNNNNNNNNNNNNNNNNNNNNNNNNNNNNNNNNNNNNNNNNNNNNNNNNNNNNNNNNNNNNNNNNNNNNNNNNNNNNNNNNNNNNNNNNNNNNNNNNNNNNNNNNNNNNNNNNNNNNNNNNNNNNNNNNNNNNNNNNNNNNNNNNNNNNNNNNNNNNNNNNNNNNNNNNNNNNNNNNNNNNNNNNNNNNNNNNNNNNNNNNNNNNNNNNNNNNNNNNNNNNNNNNNNNNNNNNNNNNNNNNNNNNNNNNNNNNNNNNNNNNNNNNNNNNNNNNNNNNNNNNNNNNNNNNNNNNNNNNNNNNNNNNNNNNNNNNNNNNNNNNNNNNNNNNNNNNNNNNNNNNNNNNNNNNNNNNNNNNNNNNNNNNNNNNNNNNNNNNNNNNNNNNNNNNNNNNNNNNNNNNNNNNNNNNNNNNNNNNNNNNNNNNNNNNNNNNNNNNNNNNNNNNNNNNNNNNNNNNNNNNNNNNNNNNNNNNNNNNNNNNNNNNNNNNNNNNNNNNNNNNNNNNNNNNNNNNNNNNNNNNNNNNNNNNNNNNNNNNNNNNNNNNNNNNNNNNNNNNNNNNNNNNNNNNNNNNNNNNNNNNNNNNNNNNNNNNNNNNNNNNNNNNNNNNNNNNNNNNNNNNNNNNNNNNNNNNNNNNNNNNNNNNNNNNNNNNNNNNNNNNNNNNNNNNNNNNNNNNNNNNNNNNNNNNNNNNNNNNNNNNNNNNNNNNNNNNNNNNNNNNNNNNNNNNNNNNNNNNNNNNNNNNNNNNNNNNNNNNNNNNNNNNNNNNNNNNNNNNNNNNNNNNNNNNNNNNNNNNNNNNNNNNNNNNNNNNNNNNNNNNNNNNNNNNNNNNNNNNNNNNNNNNNNNNNNNNNNNNNNNNNNNNNNNNNNNNNNNNNNNNNNNNNNNNNNNNNNNNNNNNNNNNNNNNNNNNNNNNNNNNNNNNNNNNNNNNNNNNNNNNNNNNNNNNNNNNNNNNNNNNNNNNNNNNNNNNNNNNNNNNNNNNNNNNNNNNNNNNNNNNNNNNNNNNNNNNNNNNNNNNNNNNNNNNNNNNNNNNNNNNNNNNNNNNNNNNNNNNNNNNNNNNNNNNNNNNNNNNNNNNNNNNNNNNNNNNNNNNNNNNNNNNNNNNNNNNNNNNNNNNNNNNNNNNNNNNNNNNNNNNNNNNNNNNNNNNNNNNNNNNNNNNNNNNNNNNNNNNNNNNNNNNNNNNNNNNNNNNNNNNNNNNNNNNNNNNNNNNNNNNNNNNNNNNNNNNNNNNNNNNNNNNNNNNNNNNNNNNNNNNNNNNNNNNNNNNNNNNNNNNNNNNNNNNNNNNNNNNNNNNNNNNNNNNNNNNNNNNNNNNNNNNNNNNNNNNNNNNNNNNNNNNNNNNNNNNNNNNNNNNNNNNNNNNNNNNNNNNNNNNNNNNNNNNNNNNNNNNNNNNNNNNNNNNNNNNNNNNNNNNNNNNNNNNNNNNNNNNNNNNNNNNNNNNNNNNNNNNNNNNNNNNNNNNNNNNNNNNNNNNNNNNNNNNNNNNNNNNNNNNNNNNNNNNNNNNNNNNNNNNNNNNNNNNNNNNNNNNNNNNNNNNNNNNNNNNNNNNNNNNNNNNNNNNNNNNNNNNNNNNNNNNNNNNNNNNNNNNNNNNNNNNNNNNNNNNNNNNNNNNCCUGCCGUCCUCCUCAAACAAAAACUUGAGCAGAGAGGAAAAAGAAAAGGAAAGAGAGAGCAGAGAGGAAAAAGAAAAGGAAAAAGAAAAGGAAAGAGAGAGCAGAAAGGAAAAAGAAAAGGAAAAAGAAAAGGAAAUUUAUUUGGGAAUAAUUGUAUUAAUCAUUAAAUUUGCGCGGCGGCGGAGGAAAAAGAAAAGGAAAAAGAAAAGGAAAAACAAAAUACUUGAUAGUGCUCAAACAAAAACUUCUAUGCAAAUUAGUGCUCAAUAAAAAACUGAAAAGGAAAAAGAAAAGGAAAGAGAGAGCAGAGAGGAAAAAGAAAAGGAAAUUUAUUUGGGAAUAAUUGUAUAAAUUUGACCCAAAAAACAUCAAUUUUAUUUUUUAAUAGCUCUUAAUCAUUCAACCGUCGCUGCUCCUCCUCUAUGUCCCCUUAAUCUUAUUUUUUAAUUCCUUUAUACUUAAUUAAUUUUUACUACAUGCAGGAGUGACAUAUGGCGGACGAUAGAGCCGAGCCGCUUAGGGAUCCGGAGGCUGAACGUUAUUUAAUGGGCAUCAUAAACAACGAGAUUCCUUAUGUGCCGGGCUCAGAAUAUGAGCAAGAAGAGGAUGUAGUCUCUUCUUUUCUGAACCUUGACGGUGGAACAGACAUUGUCGAUGAUUAAAAAGGUGAAGGAACGGACAUUGUCGACGGAGGUCAACCGUCAACAAACGACGAUCUCGAAUUGCAAGUAGCAACCACCUCCGGCGAGGUAUAUAUAUACAUUGAGCCUCUCGUGAUACAAACUUACUGAAAUGUGAAUACAUAUGUAUUAACGCGCGCGACUCUCUUUUUUUUUUUUAGCCCUCGGCCGGAUCGAGUACGACAAAGCGUGGCAAAUCCAAGGCGAUGAAAACAGGAGAAACAUAUGCCAUUGAUUUUGUCAGUGAAACCGGCAAGCCCCUACAGCACACCUCAAAGUUUAUCAACCAAUGCGGAGUCGUUGUUAGAGACAACGUCCCGAUCACCGUCCAGGAAUGGAAGGAGCCAAAGAAGGCACGUCUUGGUUUCAGUUUUGUCGACAAGAGAACGAAAAAGGAUUGCUGGAGAAAGCUUAUGGAACAUUUCAUUCUACCUCCGGAAUACAACAAAGUCGAUGAAUUCGGUAACGAGGUUCCGGGUGGACGUGAGAGGAGGAGGCUAGUUAAAGUGUUCGCUCUUCAGAAGAUGGGCAAAGCAUUCCGGAACUUCAAGAAAAAUUUAACCCGUGACUAUGUCAACAAGGGCAAGACUCCGGAUUUCAAUGGACAACAUGAGAAACUGAAAGAUGAUUGGCCAGAAUUUGUGAGGCAAAAGAAAUCGGAGCAUUUCAAGGAAAUAUCGAAAAAAAUAAGGAUAAUGCGAGUAAGAAAAAGUUCCAUCAUAUUAUGGGGCCAGGAGGAUACCGCCUUUCGGAGCCUAAGUGGCAGAAGAUGGAGGAGGACCUGAGGGUGCGAGGAAUCCCUCUAGGUACAGAGGGAUGGGACCCAAGGGCCAAAAGCUGGUGGUACGGGCAUGGGGGAUCGCUAGACCCGGAGACAAGGAUGUGUGUGUUCACCGGAAGAAAAAGUUUGCUCCCACCCAAGCCCUUAUUGACGCAAUGACCCAAGCUCAAGAGGGCUUGAUCAAGUUCAACAGAGAGAAAGACGCAUUGACAACAGCCCUCGGGAAUGAUGAACACGGAGGACGUGUACGAGGCAAAGGCAGAAUUCCGUGGAAAGUAGGGUUUUCCAAGGACAAUGACCCGUACUGUUACAGAAGCCGUAAGAGAAAGACGGACCGGGAUGCAGAUCUUUUGGCGAAGUUUGCAUCGGAACUCCAUGAGUUGAAGCAGACCGUGCAUGAACUAGUAAAAGAAAAAUCGGCUGCAGGGCCGCAUGAAGAUCAUGAAGCGGAUCGCGGAAGCCAGCAGCGGAGAAGCAGCGUGGCUUCCACGGAUGCCCCGCCUGGUGCUAAUGCACCGAUGAUCGAGAUUCGUGCACCGGAGCCUCACUACCCCGUGGAUGAUGUAAAGGAGAUGAAAGAAUGUGAUCUGCAUUAUCCCGUGGGGAACGUUUCCACGAAGGUAGCUACCGGCAGUGCUUUACCCUGUACACCUGGAGCACUCCACCACAACAACCCCAUUGCAUAUGGCUAUGCUCGUGUCACGGUGGAAGACAUAGUCCAAGAGUUUGAGGACUUGAAGAUUGACAAAGCUACACCCGAAGGGGAGAGAAGACUUGGAGAUGUCAACCCCAGAUCAUUCUAUGGAAAAAGAAGUACAUAGUGUUUCCAGGCGAGGCGCCAAGGCUAACAAGUCCACCCCCCUCCGAUGGUGGUGGUGGUGGUGGUGGUGGCGGUGGUGGUGGUCGUGGUGGUUCACCUACACCUCCUUCACGCCAUUCGACGCCGUCCCCCGAUCCACAACCUCCGGCGGGUAAGCAGCCGCCGCCCCCCAAUCCUCCUCCGGCGGGUACGACGCCCCCCAAUCCUCCUCCGGCGGGUACGACGCCCCCCAAUCCACCUCCGACGAAGAAGCAGAAGCAGGCGGACAGCAAGGAAACCCGCUCCUGGACUAUUAACCCGGACCCUUAUGUACCUAAGACCACAAGGGUACCGGAGCCAUCACUGAAGCCUCUCCUCCCAAGGCCUUGGGAACUUAGUGAAGCUGAAACCAAAUUGGCCGCGUCUGCUCAUUAUGAGAAAUGGAAGGCGGAUACGAAGGCGAUAAAAGAGCCUGAGCCCAAGCAAGUAUUCACUGAGAAGCAAAAGAAGUGGGCUAAGGAUUUUUUGACGACACCGUCCCAAGCCGAGCUGAAUAUGCCUGACGACUAUGGACAUGAACUUCGUAGGCAAGCAAAAAUAUUAAGGAGGAGAAAGAAGAAAGUAAAAAAAGCGGGAAACAAGUUGACCAGCUCGGGAUGCAGAAUAAACAAUCGAUCCCCCCGCUCAUAGUGAAAGCCGGUCCGGAAGAGGACCCCGAGAUCAUAGCAGCUACGGCAGCACUUGGAUUGACUGUAGCGAGUGCCAUGAAACAAGCGUCCGAGAUGGGUUUGACUCUUCGUGCCUUCUUAGGCCUUGAGGAUGCACCAGUAUGUGAGAUAGCAUUACAAUAUGUGCGGAAUGGGCCUCUCGUCGAGCCUGCGCGGGAAAAGAGUCUACCACCACAAUGCGAAAUCUGCUACGUUGGUACAAGCAAUUCAUAACAUGGGCCGACAAAGAAUAUGUUUAUGCGGAUGUUACAGAGGAGCAUCACACCAAACGGUACUCUGUACAAGUUCAUAUGAGUGAAUUGUUCCAGCUGUUCAAUCUGCGCGAGCUCGACAAAUCUAUCCUGAGUUGCUACGUUCUGUAAGUGAUUUAUUUCUACCUCAUCUCGUUCUUCAUUGCCUGCACUAUAUAUAUAUAUAUAUUGUCCUAACUAUAUUGUUGCGUACGCUAUUAUGCAGAUUGAAGAUUUGGGAAUGCAAAAUAAGAAACAUCCAUGAUGUUGGGUUCAUUGACCCACAUAUCGUUAAUGGACAUGUGUUACAAAAUCACCCCGAAGACGUGGAGAAAGACUUGUACAAGUUUCUUAGAAAGCAUCAACUCAAAAGUCAUAUUCUAUUUCCUUACCAUUUUGGGUGAGUGUUUCUCUCUUGUGCCCAUUCUCUUUUGUUUACUCCAUGCAUGGUAUGUCUAAUCGAUGAGUUAUGCAUGACUGUGCAUGUAACGUGUCCGCAGGUUCCACUGGAUUCUGCUAAAUAUUGAACUUCACACCUCCAGAGUUCUAAUCAUGGACUCUAUGGAUUCGGAUCCAAAGCGUUGGGCCGACAUGAGAAAAAUGCUGCAAAAGUAAUUAUUUUCAAUCAUUUGAGCUCUAUAUCGAUCGGUCUCUUUCGUUCAUUUCCUAAUAUCAAGUAACUAAUAACUCCCUUGUUCAUUUAAUUUUCUUUGCCCUGUAGGGUUUGGAGACGGUUCUCAGAAGAUAUUGUCGGUGAAUUCAAACAUGAGCUAGAUUUUAGAAGGUUAGUUAAUGUGGAUAAGCAGCCACCGGGGACCAAUCUAUGUGGAUACUAUGUUUGUGAGAACAUCCGGAGACACACCUCUGAGCGGAAGGCAUCGGAUAGCGUGCGGAAGGCGACGGAUAACUUGCGGAGGAGGCUUAGUCCAGAAGCUCGCUUCCGACCAAUUCAAGAUGAAUUAGCAGGAUUUUUCAUGAGGGAAGUCAUCAAUCCUAAAGGAGAACACUAUACCGAGGACGAAGAAAUUUAUAUGCAUACCCGAGAUUGAAACUUGUUCGAAGUUGUAUAUGGUCAUCCAUCCUAAUUGUGUAUGGAAACUUGUUCGAAGUUGUAUAUGGUCACCCGAGAUUGAAUAUAUAUUAUAUAUUUCUCUUGAAUUCUUCUUGUUUGAAAUUCCAUAUGCAUGUAUAUAGUAGCGUAGAAUAUGUGUACUGAAACUUCAUCAAAAUUAAAAUAAAACAUAAAAUAAAAUAUAAAAGAAAUAAAACACUAUAAAUUAAAAAGAAACCAGGUUUAGGGGGGCUAAAACCCUAAACCUGCGGAGGAGGCCUUUAGUCCCGGUUAGCCACGAGAACCGGGACUAAAGGUCCUCCGCCCCGACGGACUCCUGGCGCCCACGUGGACGGGCCUUUAGUCGCGGUUCGUAAGAGGCGCGACUAAAGGGGGGAGCCUUUAGUCGCGCAUAUUUAGUCCCGGUUGCACAGCCGGGAUUAAUGGCCUUUGCGAACCGGGACUAAAGGCAUAUUUUCUACUAGUGCCGCCGACACCAAAGUUUGAGCAUUUUGCUUCUUUCCUUCCUUUUUGAGGAAGAUCACCCCUCUGGGAACACGUAGUACUCUUGUGACCUGGUUCCCGGCAUAUACUACAGAAGGGAGAGUGUGUUUGCUUGUACCACAUCCGUCGGCAGCGCGUGCAUUUGCCGCCUGUUUGCCCUUUUUGCUCUUUGCACACCGAUCAUCAUAUGGAGGCUUGUCCCUGCGGUUGGUCGACCUGGCUUACGCUUCCGUUUUGGAGCUUUUAGACCCCAAAAUUACCAAUUGCACUACCUUCGGCGUUGCUUCCACACCCGCUGGAGGGUGGGUGCACUGCAAUCAGUUCUUUACCUUUUCCCAUGUUUGAAUGAAUUUUGUCUUCCAGUCCCAUUCCAUCUGUUAUAGGUGUCAGUUUAUCCAUUGCUUUUUCAAUAUAUCCAUUGCACACUCGUAUGCACUUGUAUUUGCAUCUCCCAGCCUUACAACUUCAAGGGCAUGGGUGUACAGAUUUGAGUGUCUGAAUGUUAUCGAGCUCACACAAAUUUUAUCCUUCUGAAGAUGUGCCAAGUGGUCUGGCAUCACAUCCCUUGCAUCCUUUGUCCAACGUUUCAGAACAUGCUUUGCUGGUAUCUGGUCUGUGCCGAGGAAAUCGAGGACCUGCAAAAGACAUAGUUGGUAUGCUUAAUUAUCUCGUUCAACAAAAAAAAACAGAAGAUGUCAUCAUUACAAUACAUAUUUGUAGCUUAACUGCGUGGCAGCACAACCACACAUUUUAAAAUCUGGGUUAUACUUGCAAGGCUAAGGCAAAUGUCAGUAAACAGUAAUCAGUUAAAAAGAAAUAUACACAAUCAUAUUUUGCAAAAAGUGUAGGGAAAAUGUAAAAACUUAAAUUUGGACAUGUUUUGUAAAAAGUGUAGGGAAAAUGUAAAACGGCUAUAACUUUUGCAUACGAUGUCAGAAAAAAACGUAUAAUAUAUCAAAAUGUUCGGCACGAAAAUCCGCAUCCGAUUUUGACGGCCUACGGCCGGUUUGCAAAUUUUUAGAAUCCUCAAAUUCCAAAAGGAAAAAAGUUAUGCUCAAAUUUCUGCUUUUUUUUAUUUUCGUUAAAUCUGGUCAAACUACUUAUUCAAGAAGUAUUAGUGUUACUAAAUAAUUAUUCAAGAAUAUUAGUGUUACUAAAUAAUUAUUUCAGUUUUUUUGAUUUUUUGUCAAACUGUGGUCAAACAAUGGUCAAACUACUUAUUCAAGAAAUAUUACUGUUACUAAAUAAUUAAUAUUUUUUUGAAGGGGAGCCUUGGCGUAGUGGUAAAGCUGCUGCCUUCUGACCAUGAGGUCACGGGUUCAAGUCCUGGAAACAGCCUCUUGGAGAAAUGUAGGGAAAGGCUGCGUACAAUAGACCCAAAGUGGUCGGACCCUUCCCCAGACCCUGCGCAAGCGGGAGCUACAUGCACUGAGGCUGCCCAAAUAAUUAUUGUUUUUUAGAACAAUAGUUUCAAACUCAAAUAGUGAAAUGUGUGACUUCAUGCUCAAGCUAAACUCCUGAGGGUUAAUAGGAUUGACAUCUAACUAUUGUCAGGAAAACAACAAGUGCAGACUUGGAAACGAGGGAGAAUAGAACCCGGAAGUUAAGCGUGCUCAGGCUGGGGGAGUGGGAGGAUGGGUGACCGUUUGGGAAGUUAGAUGAUUUGGAAUGAUGAGGGGUGAUUAAAGAUUAAAUUGAGCAGUGAUGAGGGGUGAUUAGAGAUUAGAGGUUAAAAUAAUUCAGAAAUUUGAAAAUCAGGAAAAAAAUUCAAAAAAAUCCUUUAGUACCGGUUGGUGUUACCAAUCGGGACUAAAGGUGGACCUCCGGGCAGCAGCCACGUGGAGGGCCUUUAGUCCCGGUUCGUAUAAGAACCGAACCGGGACUAAGGGGGGGACCUUUAGUCCCGGUUCCAGAACUGGGACUAAAGGUCCUCUAAAACCGGGACAAAAGGCCCUUUUUCUACUAAUGAUAGAAACAAAACAGAUAUAUUGUAUUAACUGGGUUCAAAAAUUGAAUAAGUUCGAAUUGAAUCUUUUUGCUACAUCAUACUGGCUGAAAAUAGUGACCACCAUCUGUAGAUUUGCAUUUUCUUAAAUCUGGAAUGACAGUUCGGCUUGCCUAUAGCUGACUCAGGGAUCUCAGCUCACUCUUUAAUUUGAGAUACCGAAACCACUUUCUAAGCACAUGGUACUGUAUUAUGAAAUAAAUGAAGGCUUGCUUGCAGUAUGACAGAAACACAGUACAAGUAAAUUUACCUCUGUAAGGAUCUUGCGCUUUAAGUGGCAGGUAAAAUCAUUGACAAGGAAUUCUUCUAGUGGCAAAGAAAAGAUCUUCUGGAACUCUUAUGUUCGUAUGGUAACCGCAUAGCAAUCAGUAUGAUGAGAUUGGCAUCAAUCAAGUCAUAAACUGAUUAUAUGAUAUCAUAUACACCUAUAUUUGGUCUGCACACUUGUGCAUUUCAAAAUUUCUCACUUAAAUUGUAGACUGAUGUUGCAUGUGACAAAAGAAACAUACUUAAUGACAAAAUAAGCAUAAAAAUUUUGGUCUUUUUGGUACAGUACACAUAUGAUUAUAUUCUUGUAGAACUUUUAGCAAGUGAACAUAUUCCAAGUUUCUAACAUUUUUUUACAUGGAUAUGAAGGAAGCUGCAAACAAAUUCAUGUACUUCCAUAGAGCAUCAUACAAUACGAAGUAAAGCAUAAAUCCUAUUUGAGGUAACCAAACACAUAAUAAAGUUCUUGGAAAUACCUUUCAAAUAAUUGAUAUCGCCAAAUGAAGAAAAUGAGGACGGAGGAGGGCGGCCGUUGGUGCUGCUGCUUUGCGCCCUUGCAGUCGAAUUGGGGGAGCACGGCGAGAGAAAGAAUGUGGUUGGGGUGUGCUUCACUGGGUGGCACGAGCAGAAGGCAUGUUAGCGACCUUGCGACCAUAAUGAUGUCAAGCUGAGAGAGACAGGGAGAGACACACAGACCUGGUAACGCCACCCUCCUUCAGUGCCUUCUCCAAGGCGUCACGGCCCUGUUGUGCGGAUGCUCGCGACGGGAUCGGGAAUGAGAAGACGGCCUCGUCCAACAAGGGGACGCGAUCCUCCUUGUGCCUCCUCGAGGAUGGCGCGGCCCUCUUGUGUGGACGCUCGUGACGGGAUCGAGAAUGAGGAGACGGCCUCGUCCAACAAGGCAGCGCAGCCCUCCUUGUGCCUCCUCGAGGACAGCGCGGCCCUACCUCUGCAGCUGCUCAUGACAAGGUAGAGGAUGGACGUGAUGGCCCCAUCCGAUGGAAGGCCGGGUCAACGAAAAUGUCCCUCCGGUGGGAUGAAAUUAUGAGUGGUGGCACCGCGUGAUCCUGGCCAUCCAGCGAAACGAUCUUACGACCACCAGUGCAAAUGCCCUGAGAAGUUUCCCACUCCCGCAUGAAUCAAGAAUUGAGAUUGGUCAUGUUAUAGAAUAGUAUGGGGAUCGGAUUCAUGAUACAAAGAAGUUUCAGUUUGGCACUUAAUCUCUGUCGUAUAAGUGUAUUUUUGCGUAAACCACUUCAAAAAAACUUACUCCCUCUGUCCCAAAAUUCUUGUUUUAGAUUUGUCUACAUACGGAUAUAUCUAUUCACAUUUUUAGCGUUAGAUACAUCCGUAUCUAGAUAAAUCUAAGACAAGAAUUUUGGGACGGAGGGAGUACUAUCUUUGCUCGCUUAUGUACCAGCCAUUGUCUUUUGACCAAAGCAAUCUUAUCAUUACAGGGCACCUACAUCGGCAAGACCGUGUGUUCCCUUCGGGAUCCCCUACAAAUGGUUGCAACAGAUAAAAAUGUGUCAGCUAUUUUCUUUUUCUUUUUUUUUUAUUAGCACAAGCAUAAGUCUGAUACAUUAGCUGAUCUGUUAUGCCGACAGCGAACCAAAAAUUAUACUAACCGAGCCGCUGCAGACUAUCUCUUGCAAUCAUUUUGUUCUCUCUACGUUGAGUCUGCUCUUCCCAUAUCUAAUUCCGAACCAAAUUUCCAAGGAAUACAGAUUGUAAUAGUCAUUUGCUUCUCCGAGCGAAUCAAAGUUGUUUCUGAGAGUGGAGUGAUGGCACUUCUUGUGUAAUAGAUCUGAAGGAGACAUGAAAGACUCCCCCUCUCGCGACCGCGUCGCCCCCGCGGGCGACCGGUCGCGCCCCGAUUCCCCUUCCGCCAACUCUCCCUCUCGCCCCCUUCCCUGCCGCCGUCGUCGGCGUUCGCCGCCAGGCCUGGCCCGGGCGGCACUGGUGGCGGCGGCCCUCGGCCAUUCCCCUCUCGGUUGGUCUUCGGCGCGGGGCGGAGGGCGCCGAGGGGUGCUCCCUAGGCGGCGGCGGUCCAGCGUGGUAGCGGGGCUUCCUGGCGCGGCGCGGGAGAUCGGCUGGACGGCGGCGCCCGCUCGGCCCAGAUCUGGGCCCUUCGGGCCCCAUCUGGGUCUGGGCGGGCCGACGGCGGGGCGGGUCGGUGGCGUGGCUUUCAGGAGGCGAGGGAGCGGCGAUGGGCGUUGGGGUGCUGGCGCCGCCCUGCUGUAGCGUGGCCGGCGGGGCUUAGCGGGCUCGAUUCGGGCCUGGCCGGGCCAGGGGUGGCCUGGUAUGCCCUGCUACUGCGUCCGGACGGCGACCGCGACGGUGCCGGAGGCACGAGCCUCCUGCACGACAGCGGAGGAGGUGGUUCCCUCCUGCGCGGCUACGACACUGCUGCUCCCGUCGACCAACGCCUCCUCUCCUCGUCUCUUGGCCUCGUGGUGGUGAUCUCAGUGAGGCGGUGUGGGUGGCGUUGCGACCGCGGUGGCGCGUGGGUGGGCGGCGAGUUGGCUGGUUGGCUCCGAUCCGGUUGGGCGGUGGGUUUGGAGUUCGGAGAAAUCCUUGCCGGGUCUUCCGGCUCCGAUGCGGUGACGCCUGCGGGUGCCAUCAUUCCUCCCUGGAGGAUGCCGGUGGUCUUCGUUCCGUCGUCGCAUUCCUUCCUGGAGGUGCUGCUUGGUACAUGGAGGAUCAGAGCCUAGGAUCGUAGUGUGUGGAUUUCGGAGGGCGCAGCGGUAGUGGGUCAUCCGCGCUUUGUCGAGCUGCCGGUGUUGGCAUUGUUUCUUCUUCUUUUUCUUUGGCUUGUUGUGCUGCUCGCGACAGCGUUUGCUCUGUGAUCGGUGUUGGUGCUUUGGAAUACAAAGCGGGGGAAACCCUUUUUCGGUAAGUUGUUUCUGAUUGCAGGAACUACGAUAGUGUCAGUCUUCUUCUCUGCCUAACCUCUCAAUGUUUUCUCCAGGGCACUUAUUCUGCUAGCACAGAGCAGACGUUCAACAUAAUUUAAAAAAGGAUUAAUUACGACAUAAUCAAAAGAAAAAUUGUUUUUGUUAACUAUGAUUAUACGAAAUGCAUGCGCCGCACCACAACAUCGAUUAAUAUGAUUCAGCACAAUUUUUCAGCUUGUGAACUAAAAUUAAGGACAAUUGAUCGCCCAACACAGAAACGCGUCUACAUACCUCUUCGUCCAGCCCGGCGCCUGAGGAUCGUCCUUGCCCGUUGACUGCUCUGAGUUGGGCGCCGACAAGCUGAGCCCCUCGCAAGUGCUGUUCAAAUCUAAUUGUAUUGUCACCGCGGCAUCGCCCACAUCAAUAAUGCCGGAUUGGGCGGUUGCACAGACAGAGUUCGGUUGUCUUGACCGUCCAGUAUGGUCUCGCUGGCGCCAAGAUCCAGCAGGGGAAACCUGUGCAAAGCAGGGAGCAGACUACGUACUAAGGUGCGCGCCUAGCCACAGCGGCUAUCAGUACACAACAAAGGCGGCGGCACGAAACGUACCUGUCGACCGGAUCUGGUACUCGAACCCAUUGCCUCGCGCGUCCGCCGUCGCCAUAGCUCUGAGUUGCGGCGGCCGACGCGAUAGAUUUCUUUUCUUUUUUUACUAAACGUCGGGCAGGGUGGGAGGUGGACCCGCGGUGUCACAGAUGCAUCCGUUACGCAGCUACAGUUUGUGUGACGGACCUCACGGGCGUCAAUCGUUAUGGACUGCCAGUCACGUCCUGUACCAACGGAACCUAUGCACAAGCUGUCUUCAUAUGCACAACUGUACGAUACUGUUGGAUGCCACCCUUUCCCUCCUCUCUACGAUCUCAUUGAAUGUACGUACAGACGCGUCCUUGGCCCAUUGGUUAGCGAAGCGGGAGCAGGCGAGCUCGUCCGCUCUAUCGCCGCUCUCGUACCCGAGUUGUACCCCAGUUAUAUUGUUUGUUUUGAUUGACCACACCAGUAAUUUAUGACGGUAGCUUUUAAUAUAUGCUUAUGUUCUACUUCUAUAUCAGUCCAGUGUAGACUUUUCACGUUACGUCAUAUCAUCAUCAAAACACACCAGAGAGAUUCAUAAAAUUCUCAGGGAAAAGAUUUGGAAGAUAAUAACCAUAUAUGUACUAAUUACGGAUUCAUAAAAUUCUCAGGGAAAUUAUUUGCGGCUAUUUGGAAGAUAAUAAACUACACUGAGCAAAUCUCAAACUAGGCGAGCUGUAUGUAUCAGCAUCACAAUACUCAAGUGGAGUAUGGUUUUAAGUUGAUCAUCAGCUUCAUCAAGAUCAAAUUCCACCGAGUUUGUUGAUCUGGCUACCAUGGUGGAGAAGAUCACAAGUGUCAGUUUUUGAAGGGCCCUGAUCUAGUAGGGAGUUUGCGUCAUUGCUCAGCGAUGCAUCGGCCUGCUGCACCAACCAAUGAUGUGCUUGGGGAUCAAUAUUGUGCUGAAAGUCUGAAUAGAAGAUGAUGUCCUCGAGGCCGCCGUCACUACACAAAGGAACACAUGAUUAGAAUGCUAACACAUCCUAUUUACCGUAAACUGUCACUUGCAUGUUGUUCCGAUGAAGACCGUGGAGCAGGUGUAAACACAUCACAAAGAAGACUAUCACGACAAACUGUUAUUUUAAGAAAGGGACGUCCAUAAAAGUUUGUCGCGGCAAAGUCUGGUAAACUGGAUCAUAAUUUGGCAUCAAUUGGGAUUUUUGUUGGUAACAAUAGCCCAUCUUCAUUGCUCCUCCUCUUCAUAUUGUUGCCAUAACUUACCAAUUCGAUUCUUCUUUUUUUGAAAUUUCACUCCGCUCGGCAUAGCAGUAGCGCAAGAGUAGAUGGCAUUUGACAAGGAUGUUGAAAAUAGAACUCACCCCAGGGCUUGAGUUGGUGGACCAAGAUCAACAUCCAUGUGACUCAAUUCGCUGGGAUGUGGAUAUCAUCCAUGAUGCUUGUUUCUGUCAACUGAGAAGCCAUGUCGUCGUUGAUGAUUGCGGACGAUCCAUUCGAACGGGCAAGUGUUUCACCGGAGCCGCCAGAUGUUCCUUCAGGACUGUCACUAUGUGCUUGUUGAGCCGCUGGCAAUUGAUCAUGCAAGAACACGACUGAGCAUAAAUGUAUAAAUGCUAUAAAUAAAGGGAUAAGUAUAUUUUUCGUCCUCGAACUCUUCCGAGAGUUUAGAAAUCGUCCCUCAACUCUAAACCGGAGAGUUUUCGUCCCUCAACUAUCAAAACCGGAUAGUUUUCGUCCCUCGUGCCGCUUCGCGCGGUUUUAGUCCGGGAUGAACAGUGAAUCAGUGAACAAUAAAAUCGAAAAAAUAGCAAAAAAAAUCUAAAAUUUUACAGCACCGAAGAUAAUCUAGUGCGCAAGACCCGUGCAAAAUUUCGUGGUGUUUCGACAUUCAAGCAGCUCCUGGCAAACAAAAAACUGUAAAUAUGUACGUUGGUGCACAGUAAAUUAAAAAAAUAGCAAAAAAAAAUUCAAAAAAACAUGAAACAUUUUGGCAUAAAAAAUGCUCGGGUACGCAAGCUGCAUGCAAAAUUUUGUGAUCAAAUGACAUACGAGGAGCUCUAGCAAAAAAAACACAAAAUAGCGCACUUUUUACAAAAAAAUUCUGAGCCAAAUUUUGUUUCUUUUUGUCACGAGUUCGUACAAUACCCAAACAUCACAAAAAUUUGCACGCACGUUGGGCACCCAAGCCUCUUUUAUGCCAAAAAAAUUCAUACCGCUUUGAAUUUUUUUGCUAUUUAUUUUGAAUUUACUGUUCACUGACGUACAAAUUUAUAGUUUUUUAUUUGCCAAAAGCUGCUCAAAUAUCAAAACACCACAAAAUUUUGCACGUGUCUUAUGCACCAAAGUAUCUUCGAUGCUCUAAAUUUUCAGAUUUUUUUGAUUUUUGUUGCUAUUUUUUUUAUUUUACUGUUCACCCCGGACUAAAACCGCCCGAAGCGGCACGAGGGACGAAAACUAUCUGGUUUUGAUAGUUGAGGGACGAAAAUUCUCCGGUUUAGAGUUGAGGGACGAUUUCUAAACUCUGGGAAGAGUUCGAGGAAGAAAAUUAUACUUAACCCAUAAAUAAAAUAAAUGAAAGUAGAAAGAAUAGAUGUGUGGCGAUCGAUGCAC
Molecule: long non-coding RNA, 40673 nt
Filed under: Triticum aestivum (bread wheat)
Lineage: Eukaryota; Viridiplantae; Streptophyta; Magnoliopsida; Poales; Poaceae
Description: long non-coding RNA (TAES_LNC019759)
Rfam family: MIR1120/MIR1122 microRNA precursor family (bases 35844-35979)
Source: RNAcentral